Molecule: long non-coding RNA, 9271 nt
Filed under: Heterocephalus glaber (naked mole-rat)
Lineage: Eukaryota; Metazoa; Chordata; Mammalia; Rodentia; Bathyergidae
Description: lncRNA (ENSHGLG00000031248.2)
Source: RNAcentral
GGACCAAGUGCUAUAGUUCAGAGCUUGGGUAAAUGUGCAACCACGCUGCUUCCUCAGUGCUCCAAACAGAGAGAAUUCUUAUGCAAAUUUAAGAAUCUGCCCUUGUGGAGAGGAGCGAUCUCCUUUUACAACUGUCUGGGAUUUGUAUGGAGGUGGAAUUCGGCAGUUACAGAAAACCAGUAGGAGCCUUCUGAGCUCACAGAACCUCCAGAACAUCAGCUGGAAGUGCAGUGGCUGCAUCUGGAGACCCUGUGCCCCAGUCCUCGGGCUGAGCUUUGAAGAAGAGACCUCCAGCAGCACUGGUGAGUACAGAGAUGGCCACGGAGACAGAAAUGAAAGCGGCAGAGCACCGCGAGGGCACAGCCGAGGCUUGUGGAGACAGCGCUCCAACUCUCCAGACAGCAUGUCUACUUCUGGAGAACUCCUCCUGGGACUGAAGAUGUUAAAUGUGCAGCAGGAACCAAGUUGCACUGCCUCUGCUCUAUCGGCCUAUGAAUUAAGGAAGUCCAUGUGGAAAGAAGAGAGGAAUGCAAUUGAAAAAAAACAGAAUGGAGACCACAGGUAAAAAACUAAGAUUUUUUUCCACCCAAUUUCUUUUCAGGAUGAUUGUAAAGAAACAACUAAAACUGGAAUAAAAGGAGAUACAGUGUAAUAUAGAACUGGGUACAGAUGCUAGGGUCGAGCCUUUUAAUUUCAGAUUCUUUGGCCUCAAUUUCUUCAACUGGAAAAAUAAAAAUAGUAAUAAUUACACCUGCCCUGUAGGUUUUUGAAAGUGACAUGAGAUAUCCUGUUUGGGAAGAAAAGAGGCAGAGGUUAGAGAAAUAGAAGAAAAAAGACAAAAUAAUGAAAUAUUACGGAUUUGUAGGGUUAUUUAUUCAUUUUAUUUUCCUCAGCAUGACAUGAAGACUCAGUUAAUAUGGAGAAAUAUCGCAUAUACAAUGGCAUGUAGAGCAGUUGUGCUAGCCUAGUAAGUAAGUCAGCACGAAACCUUUAUCAAGCAACUAUUUUUUUAAAAAUCUGGAGUGGUGGGUUUAAUUCACUAGCUAAUUUCCUUGAUCCUAUGGAGACUAAAUUAGUUCAGAACAUGUCAUAUUAUACAACUUCUUUACUGUAAUUUUCCAGCAACUCCCCCAAGCUUUGUACUUUUAGGAGCCUCCCAGGGAGAUAUUACAAGUUCAUCUUCUCCCACAAAGACCGAAUGAGUUCGACGCCUUAAGGCUGUGUAGUUCUCAGACAGCAAAUUGCCACUUAUCGGUGCCUGGCUUGAGGAACCGAAGUAAGGAUAGGUACCUAGUGGCUCUAGAGCCUUCCAACAAUCCUGUUCCUCUUCUCUGGCCCAAGUCAUGCUGUACGAUUGAAUUAUUGCUCCUUUUUCCAUCUUAACAUCAUAUAUUUUUCAUCAUAAAAUAGACUAUUCUGUUUAAAUGACACAUUCUACUCUAUCUAAAAAUGGAAACCUCAAAGAAAUAUGGUAUUUGAGGAAUCAUAAAAUUGACAUUUUUUAAAAAACUCAUUUCUUCUGCCACAAGCACAAAAUCUUCAAAAAAGAUCAUGGGAGAGAAUGGUCUCACUCAUAAAUGAAAUUGCAUACUUAGCUUUUCUGUGGAUGGCAAGAUGAAACAACUGAUAAACCAGAAGUGGGUAUUUCAUGACGAACUUUGGAAAAGGGGCUAUCAUUUUGGAUACUAAACCCAUUAUAAUUCAUUAAGACAUGUCAUAAAUUUGUGCUGUUUUAUCUCUAAGAGAUCAGAAGCUGUCAAGCAGUUUCCCUGAGAUCCUGCCCUGCUCUGACGUCACCUACACUUGCAGCAAGAGGAACCAGGCUGACAUGGACCAGUCAGAGGGAAAGAGGGCACAGAGGCCCUAGACUAGAAAAAAUUUCUCUCUUGUUUGGCCAAAAGGCUGGGUGUGGACAGAAUGGGAGACCAGGCAGCUUUCCUGGAAUAAGCAACUAUUUCUUUUGAUCCUCUGUGUUCUGGCCAUCUUUCUGGGGAACUUGAAAAAGUUUUCUGAAUUUAGGUUCCCAGUCAUUUCUAUACUUAGUCCUUAUUCUUGAUUGAAUCCAUUCUAGAACAAAAAGGCAAAUUUUACAGCAAUGUUGAUAAUCAGAGCUGUGUACACCAAGGAAAUGAAUACCUGUUAUCAAAAUGUUGGAAUCCUUCUCUAACACUUGAUAACAAACCCCUCCUCUGAGUCCCCAGCAUGUCGCUACUGCCACCGUGGCCACCCUGGCCCUAUUCCUAAAAUCUUUUGCAUCACCCCAUAUGGCAGCUCUUAAAGAAGCAACGUCUGGCCUCAGUAGAACGUGCCCCACAGUCCUGCUUCACCACCCCAUGACCGAUGUUCUUUCUAAUUGGCUGGUUCUUGGCUUUUAUAGCUAAGUUUAUUGCAUAUUAGCCUUGUAUAAAGAUCCCAGAAAAUAACAGGCAUGAAUCAAGUGGGCGGGUGUAGCACAAUGGGAAGUAAUGGGAAAUGUGGGAACCUGGAGGGCUCCCACCUCUUAAAGAAGCAGUUGCUAUGUUGUCGUUGCCAUGGGGGAAUGUAGGCUGAAGGUGCUAAAUCUUCUGUACUUCAAGAGAAACCAGAAAUUGUGCUUUUAAUAAAAAAUCUCUGAUUUCUUAACAUUGAGGUACCAUCAGUGUUGGCCUGCUAUUGUGUGGGCCCAGCUAGACUGGAUAGGCUCCAUGUGUCAUGAGUUUGCAACCCUGCUUUAAGCAUGUGGAGUUGUCAGAGCCUUCUUAUGCCUCACUCAUGAAACAGGCCAGAGGGAAGAUGCGGCCCUAUGGCUGGGUAAUUAAAUAUAAUUUCAAAUUGAAACUUUGAAGCAGUAAGUGAAAUUUAUAAUUACAGCAAUCUCCUUUUUUACUGUACUUUAGAUUUUGCCAAGUGUUAUCAAAUAUGGCAUUUGAGGCUUUCCCUGAUAAUCAGGGUACUACUAUGUGUUUUAAGAGUUGAAAAAAUCCACAUGGAAAGAUUAUGAAAAUUGCCAAAUAGCAUCCAGAUAUAUUCAGAAUUGGGUCUUCACUUUAGUACCAUUGAAUUGAUCCUUCCAAAACAUUUGUUUAAAAUGUCUAUUAUACCUUCAGUCUUAUAGAUAUACCAGAUGUAACACCAGGUAAUUAUUCUAGAACGAUAGCCUUUUGGACCCUAUUUCUCAUACUCAUUUGAAGUGAUCCAUCAGUAUAUGCAAAACAUGUCAUGAAGGUCAAAACAUGUGUUUGGAAUAGAUUACAUUAUUGUUACCAGCUCUUUAAUAAAAUUAUACAUCAAGUUCUUAGCCAUGUGAACUUUAAGUUCUUUCAGAGUGAUCAGAGCAGAAUUUCUUUGGCGAAUGGCCGGGGGUGGGAGUCAUGUGCCAGUCCAUAGCGGAGGGUUAAGAGGCAUUCAGUGUUUUCACUGUGUCCCCUUCAGCUUCUGUAAUUUGCUCUAAGAGGAGAUUGUCCUAGUUCUCUAUUCCUGCUUCACCGCAGAUGGACACAUAUGGUGCAGACACAGACCUGACCUAGAGCCUGGAACCACAUCCAGCUCAACUCAGCAAGGUCAGCAGAAACCCAGAUGACCCACUGGGCCAUAGGCAAGAAAAUAAAAAUGUGUUAAUAUAAUCUCCUGAGAUACGAGAGCCAGGGGGUUGUUUGUCAUGUGGCAUUAUUGAAGCAAUAUCUGACAAGGUUUUUAUAACCAUCUUAGUGUAAAUAAUAAUAUCCAUGCUUAGACCAUGAAAGAUUCAUCUUAACCAUAGACAAAAAUCUCAGCUAGCUCAAUAAGGAGAAUAUAUGCUUUUGGAGUAGUACAGCCUUUCUUCUUCUAAACUGGUAUUCCCAGUGUUGAUUGGAUAAAGAACUAAGGAAAGAAAAUGGAAAGUAAGAAACCACAUUUUCUUAAAAAUGUAAUGAAAUUGAGAUAGAAAGUGAUUAAUGACCUUGGAAAACAACAGUAUUGAAACACUGUUGCUGAUCCUGGAUAAGGUUGACCAUUACUAAGGAAAAACUAUGGAGUCCUUUGUUUGUAAAAGCAAAAACAAACACAAACACAUUUCUAAUUAAUUUUAUUAGUACAUUUUAGGUAUACAGUAUGACAUUCAUCAUUGGCGAUUUGCACCUUUACAUAAUCUAUAUUGGUUCUUCUUUUUCCCCCUUCCCCUGCCCUCCCUUCAACUCCUCCAAAUCACCCCCCCAUUUACAAAGACUUUGUUUCCUUUUUUUCUUUUUCUCAUAUUACACUUUUGCUUUUUACUGGUUGAAUUAUUUCCACUUCCUAUUGAUUGAAACAAGCUUUCUCUCUUUUACUUUUGUCAGCUUUCUUGAACUAAAAUGAAAAUUGUGUCUCAGAGAAUCUGAGGGAGAGCCAUCAGUUAUUUUUAACCCAAGCUAUGCUUCAGAAUCACCUAGGAAACUUUUCUAAAUUCUAGUUGCCUGGCAUCUCUCGCAGAAAUUCUGAUUUAAUUGGUCUGAGUAGAGCUGGGCUAAUGUACGUGGGGAUCCACCCCCCACCCCUGUGAUUAUCAUGUGCAGCUGGAAUUGAAAAUCAUUGUCCUUACAGGAGACGGGAGAUGGUUAAUGACAAAGUUAAUAAAAAUAUCCUUACAGUAAAUGAGAACAAUUUCUCUAUUUUUUAUUGUAGUAAAAUCCACGUAACACAAAGUUUACCAUCUUAACCACUGCAAGUGUACACAGUGGUAUUAAAUAUAUGCAUCAUGUUGUGCCACCAUCUGUCACCUGAAGUCUUUUCAUCUUGUAAAGCUGAAAUUCUGUACCCACUCCCUGAUUCUGCCAGCCCCUGGCAACCACCAUUCAUUCCACUUUCUGUCUCCAAGAUUCUGACUACUCUAAGCACAUUGUUUAAAUGGAAUCAUGCAGUACAGGUACUAGUGGGAGAUACUGCAGGUUCAGUACCACACCACUACAACGAAGUAAAUGUCUCCGUGAAGUAAGUCAAACAAUUCUUUUGGUUUUUCUAGUGCAUACAAAUGUUAUGUUUACACUCUAUUAUUUAUUAAGCAUCCAAUGGCAUUUUGUCUAAAAUAUGUACAUAUAUUAAUUUUAAAAUAUUUUAUUGCUAAAAAAUGCUAAUGAUUAUCAGAGCUGUUGGAAAAACAUUUUUUAAUGUGCUUCUUAGCCAUUUGUAGAUCUUCUUUGGGGAAGUGUUUAUUCAGUUGUGUGUUUUUUGUGUUGUUGAGCUUUAGUAGUUCAUAUUAUGGAGAUUAAGCCUUUAUCAGACAUAUUAUUGCAAAUAUUUUCUUUCUGUCAGUAGCUCUUAGGGUUUGUGUCUAGAUGGCCCCCCAAAGCUUCAGGCAGUCAUAGAGCUUUUUCAGAGGUAGCUGCAUCUAGAGUGUGUGAUGCUGGGAUUAAGGGUGUGCGAUUACUAAACCAGUCAACGGAUUAGUUUGGUACUUUCCUAAUUCAGGUAGUCUGGAUAAAAUGAAAGGGGCAGAAAGAGGAUGUUAAGGCUCCCGUUGCUUUGCUACCUUCGGUCCACCAUGAACUGUUGCCCCUCUGCCAUGCCAGCCUGCCGUGGAGCCAUUGUGGACUGAAGUCUCUACAAACUGCAAGGAGAAAAAGAUGAAAGUCAAAGAUGUUCCCAGGUUACACAGCUGAAAGUGAGGAAGUUGGUGGUUUCCUGACUCAAGAGAGUGGAGAAGACUGAACCCAAUGAGGCACUGAAAUGAAUUGGCUGCAACUUCUAGAAGGGAUCAUGCAUUUCUGAUUUUGAAGACCCUUAACCGAGACCUGCUUCUCUGUUUGGCCUGGAAGUGUAUGAGUAGACUCCUGGAAGGAGUCUCCUUGGAGGCUUACUGGGCAACUCUUUGUAUCACAAUAUAUCCAAAGGAGAAGGUUAAUGAAAAAUGACCUCAAUUUUAUAUUGGCAAGACUACCAAGGACUCAAACCCCUCAGGACUGAAGAUCAAAUCUCCUGGAGUAAAAUCUCUACCCAGCUGAGGCACUGUCUAAAGGUGGAAGAAAGACAGGAUGUAUGGCCAUGAAAGACAGUGAUCUCUGUCUUCUUUUUCUUUUUUCUGUUUUUUAAUUGGUUUUGUUUCUUUCCUUCUUAAAUAGAAGAAAAAUUACUACAAUCAUCGCUGGUUUAAUAAUCCCUUUUUCCAAGCCUAUAUAUUCAGUGUAUUACUGGAGGUUAUUGCUACCAUUUAGCCUGUCGGCUGUGAAAUGGUGAGAAUUAAAGGAUAGAUAGGAAUAUAUAAGUCUAGAGGGGGAAUUAGCAUUACCUGGAGUUUGUUGAUGAUGAAGAAGAAGUCUUUAGAGGAUCUUUACAAAAGCACAAUUAUUGAAUGCAAUGGCUUUAUGGAUUUUGAGUUUCUUAGUAUGGAUAAGAUAAACGCAUUAAGAUUAUCUGUAUGAUCAUGUGAGAUGAUGGUAUCUGUAGAACUAUUGGUAAGAAAGCCAGUUCAGAAUAAUUUUCAGCCACCUAAUUUGCACACAGUCUAUUUCAAUUCUCCUUAGGCAACCUAUGUGAUCCAGUCAAAUGAACCAUCCUUUUAAAUAAGGCAUUACUGUAUCCGGCUGGUUUGGGGGGAAUAGUGCUAAAAAGCAAGAGGGGUAAAAGGACAACAGUCUUCUGUUAGUCCCACAUCCUUGGUUCCAAGGUAGAAUUCCUGGCUCACAUUCUUGCUCAGAAUGCACGUUGCAACAGAUUGAUAGCAAUGAUACCUCUAGAACCAAGACUGGAUAUUGCUUGGACUUCACUAUCAGUUGGUUGUCACAGCUAGUUUCCCUCUUUAGCUGUGACUGCAUUACCCAGGCUUCCUACUCUUGGAGGCAAGUAUUGUCUCUGGAACCAGAAGUGGUCUCGUAACUGAGUAGAGAUGCAUUUCAUACCCUGCUCUCAAAAAUGAGCUGAAGUGGGCUGGGGAUUUAGCUCAGUGGUUUCGCCACCUGCUGUGCAAGCACAAGGACCUGAGUUCGAUCCCCAGUACCCCCCCAAAAAAAGAGCUGAAGUACUGUGGAAUCCAUGCAUGGGACACAGAACUAGAUGAUUAAGAAGAAUUUGCUAGGUGGGAGCAAAGGGUAAUAGCAGGCAUUUGGUACUCUACCACUUCCUAUUGCAUCUGAGCCCUAGGCCAGAGGUCUUCCAACUUCUGCAGCUGAUUUCCCUGAUUCAGACACCAACAACCUCCAGUUUAGGUACAAAACAACAUGAUGAGCUCACAGAUCACUGGAAGCUGGACCUUGGUUUUCCAGAUUUCUCCUGCUCCUAAUCUGUCUGUACCUUUAUUUGAGAAAUCCUGAUCUGAGUCAUUAUGCAGACGUCUAUGCAGUGAAUAAGCCCAUCUCUGUAGGUGUUUCAAAAAUUCAGUUCAACCAAUACUUAUUAAGAGCCUCCUAGGUUCCAAGCUGUGUCUUAGAAACCGCAGAUAUGAUGAUGAAUGGCUCCAUGAAAGCUUCUACUUCCAGAUUUCUCAUUGUUCAGAAUGGGACAGAGUACAUUUCUGCAUUACAUUAUCUUUCAUGGUCUGGGUAUUGUGCUGGGCUUGUCCUACAUAUUUAUCAAUUUUAUCUUCACAUGAAUUCUAUAAAUAAAUUUUAUUCUCACUUCACAUUCUAGGAAAGGAAGUCCUAAGAGGUUAAUUAACUAGCCUAAGGUCCCAAAACCAGUAACAAUAUGAGAAAACAUGUACCUGGCUGUUCUCACUUUAGAUUCAAGCUACCACUAGUACCCCUUGCUGCCAGCCUCACAGGUAGCAAUCUUUUCAUGUAUGUUCUGUGGGUUAGAUGUAUCACUUUACCUCCACAUGAAGCCUUAGAAAGUAUUACUGCAAUUUUACAGAUAAAAACCCAGCAUUACAGAGGCAACAAUAUAGAUGACGAAGUAAUGAGAUUGAUAGAAUUACAGUCAAAACUAAAUACCACUGCUGUUUGAACAAAGUUGUGGAGUGGUGGGGGGGAAAAGAUAAAGGGGGACUGUGACCAUCUAGUUUCUCUUCUUGAAAUGUGUCAUUUAAUUGAAAAUGAAAGUCUGGCCCCUGUAUCUUAGAGUUCUUAAGUAUCCACAAAUGCCAUUAAAUUGAAUGGUAACUCAGAAUAGACAGAAACUUUAUCCUCGGAAGGAUAUCCUGGAAACCUUAACCCAAGAUGAACCCUGUUAUUCUAGUAUCCUUGGAUGGUGCUUUGAGUUCUCCUUAACUUUAACUAAAUAUGACUAUUUUAAGAAAGAGAUGGGAACCCAAAUAUUCUUGCUUUAUAUAUCUCAAAGAGUAUAAGAAUGGAGUGAAACAUGGAUUUGAAAGCAAAGGAAUAAGAAAAGAAUGAAAGGAAUUCACAAAUAAUAUCAUCUUCAACCUUGGUAUCUAUUAAUCCACCUGAUUUCUUUAGCAGUAUCCAUAAGCCAAGAGUAUCGGUGAAUCUCCUGUUUCCCCAAAACAUAGAACAGUGAUGGUGAAUCUAUGGCAUCAGCUGCAGCAAGCUGUUUGUUAUAAGUGAAAGUUCUAAAGGGUUCGCCAUCACUAGCAUAGAAGACCACUUUAGAACCUCAUAUACUCAAUUCUGUCUUCUUCCAUCCAUCCGAUAGUUGAAAGAACUUUUGACAGUGUUUAUGUUUCUCAUCAUUAGAAAUCAGUGCCAUAUAUAAUUUUCAAAUGGAGCUGCUGAUUAGCAUGAGACAUAGAUUAACUUAGAUGAAGCAAUUAAAAUUAAAGGCUAAGAGACUUGACAUUUUAGUUAGCCUUAGUAACACUUUGGUGGGAGGCUUGAUGCAUUUAUGACAUCCUCUGGAAAUACAGAAGAUACACAUAGAGUUCUGAUUUCUGACUUGCUCAGCAGGGGGCGAAACCACUGAGCUAAAUCCCCGGCAAAAGGGACAUUUUUUUUUUUUUUUUGGUACCGGGGAUCGAACUCGGGACCUUGUGCUUGUGAAGCAGGCAGCAGAAAAAAUGCUAAUCUUUUUUUUUGUACCAAGGAUUGAACUUGGGACCUUACUCUUUCGAGACAAGCACCAGAACCACUGAGCUAAAUUCCUGCCUUGACUUGCUUCUCCUUAGGAAUUGCAGAUUCAAAGGAACUGGGGUGCCUGGAAGUUGGAAAGUGGACGUUAAGAUGCCCACAGGUUCUGUUGUCUGGUGAGGCCUACAUGCUCUGGAGGGGUAGAGCUCUGUGUCUUCACAGGGCAGAAGGUGAAAUCGAGAGGACAAACUUCCUUUUAUAAAAGCAUCACAUUCCAUGGGGGGGGGUGCUUUGGCUUUAUCCCCCUGCAGAGGCCCCAGGCCUAAUGCUAUCACAUUGCAAUACCUGAAAUUGGAAAGGACACAUUCAAGCAACAGUAC